CAUUCAUAUUCAUUUCUGAAUAGUAAAAUGAAAAUACUUCAGCUAACUGUGAAUGUAGAUUUUUUUGCAGUGUUAGAAAGUGGUGAAAAUUCUAAAAAGGCUAUGAGUAUCCCUUAUGGGCCAGGAAAUGCUACCGUGCUCCCUUUGCAAGCAGUCAAAUGGAUUAAAGUAUUCUAUCAGGAGCAAGUAAGUUGAUACAUUUGUCUUCAUAAUCCAUUAAAGAACACUAGGAACGUAACCAUUAAAAAAAAUCUCCAUUAUUUGGAAUUUACUUUUAAAGAAUUCAUAUGUAAAGUCAGUAUCGAGUAAACGCAUUAGUAAAAGAGGGACGAAAGAAACCAGAGAGACAGUCAAACUCAUAAAUCGAAAAUAAACUGACAACGCCAUGGCUAAAAAUGAAAAGGACAAACAGACAAACAAUAGUACACAUGACACAACAUAGAAAACUAAAGAAUAAACAAC
Molecule: long non-coding RNA, 462 nt
Filed under: Mytilus galloprovincialis (Mediterranean mussel)
Lineage: Eukaryota; Metazoa; Mollusca; Bivalvia; Mytilida; Mytilidae
Source: RNAcentral